Molecule: ribosomal RNA, 253 nt
Filed under: uncultured bacterium
Lineage: Bacteria
Description: partial 16S ribosomal RNA
Rfam family: Bacterial small subunit ribosomal RNA
Source: RNAcentral
UACGGGGGGGGCAAGCGUUGUUCGGAAUUACUGGGCGUAAAGGGCUCGUAGGCGGCCAACUAAGUCAUACGUGAAAUCCCUCGGCUUAACCGGGGAACUGCGUCUGAUACUGGAUGGCUUGAGUUCGGGAGAGGGAUGCGGAAUUCCAGGUGUAGCGGUGAAAUGCGUAGAUAUCUGGAGGAACACCGGUGGCGAAGGCGGCAUCCUGGUCCUGUUCUGACGCUGAGGCGCGAGAGCGUGGGGAGCGAACUGG